This 253-nucleotide ribosomal RNA is filed under the name uncultured bacterium. Its description in RNAcentral is "partial 16S ribosomal RNA". It matches the Rfam family "Bacterial small subunit ribosomal RNA", at positions 524 to 776 of the family's 1533-position model. The record is from RNAcentral.
UACGUAGGGUGCGAGCGUUGUCCGGAAUUAUUGGGCGUAAAGAGCUUGUAAGCGGUCUGUCGCGUCUGCUGUGAAAAUCCGGGGCUCAACCCCGGACUUGCAGUGGGUACGGGCAGACUAGAGUGUGGUAGGGGAGACUGGAAUUCAUGGUGUAGCAGUGAAAUGCGUAGAGAUCAUGAGGAAGACCAGUGGCGAAGGCGGGUCUCUGGACAGUUCCUGACACUGAGACACGAAGGCCAGGGGAGCAAACGGG